Molecule: ribosomal RNA, 492 nt
Filed under: uncultured bacterium
Lineage: Bacteria
Description: partial 16S ribosomal RNA
Rfam family: Bacterial small subunit ribosomal RNA
Source: RNAcentral
AGUGAACGCUGGCGGUAGGCCUAACACAUGCAAGUCGAACGGCAGCACAGUAAGAGCUUGCUCUUACGGGUGGCGAGUGGCGGACGGGUGAGGAAUACAUCGGAAUCUACUUUUUCGUGGGGGAUAACGUAGGGAAACUUACGAUAAUACCGCAUACGACCUACGGGUGAAAGCAGGGGAUCUUCGGACCUUGCGGGAUUGAAUGAGCCGAUGUCGGAUUAGCUAGUUGGCGGGGUAAAGGCCAAGCAAGGCGGCGAUCCGUAGCUGGUCUGAGAGGAUGAUCGGCCGCCCUGGAACUUAGCCACCCUCCUUGCUCCUGCGGUACGCAGCAGUGUGGUAUAUUGGGCAAUGGUCGCAAGUCUUGUCCAGCCAUACCGCGUGUGUGAAGGAGGCCUUCCGUUUGUAAUGCCCUUUUUUUGGUAAAGAACAGCUUCAGCUUAAUACCCCGCUUUUCUGACGGUACCCAAUGAGUAAGCACCGGCUAACUUCGUG